CUGGCGUCAGGGGAAGCCCGGAGAGGGGCGGGGUGACGUGGCCCUUGUGAGGAGCCCCUGGGGUGUCCACGACCCCCAGGGGAGGAUCGCUACCGGCGACCCAAGUAACACGUGCCCACGCCCCCAACCCACGCCCCGCCAUGAACAUCGCCAAGCUGCGACACACGUUUAUGCGGUCUCGGACGCCCACGGGCGCCGAGAUGAAGCAACAGAACAGCUUGGAUGUUCCGCCGCAGAUCCGCUCUGCUUCAUUCGACGAGAUGCAGCUCAAGCCGGGACGGCGAGAGUCGUCGUCGUCGUCCUCGUCACCCGCGGAACGGCAGUCCUUUCUGCUCCGCGUGCCCUACCUCGGCCCAAAACGUUCCAAGAGUUUCGACUCUGGUUGUGGCGACGUCGACGACACCGACUCCUCGUCCCGCAAGAAGAACUCGCGUCCAUCCUCACUUGACAAGGCGAGCCACCAGUGCGUCCACUGUGUGUAUAUAGAAUCGCUGUCACGACGCUUUGGCUGUGAGGGCAGAAGAAUUCCCUACAACAUGUCACUUGACUUCGUGAGCAGUCUGGACAGCUCGCGUGAGGAGGUGGAGGACGAGGAGGACGAGGACUGGGACGAGGACAGCUCGAGUGACGAGCUGCACGAGGUGAUCUGUCGCAUCAAGGUAACGCUCAGUCCUAACUCACCGUCGUCGGCGUCGCCCACGCAGGAAGAAGCACCGACUAGCGUGGCCACGGCGCCGCGCAGUAAAACAGUCUCUCCUAAGUUGGAGCGUCAACCUGCCAUCUUCUGUAUGAACACGAGCACCGAGCUCAGUUCACAGGAGAACAGUUUUGAUUUAAGUGAUGGUGGAUAUAGCCACCACGGUUCCUUUCAGUACUUGGGUUCCUCUAGUGAGUACGGUGAUGGGGAGCAAAGUGGGGAGCAGGGAGGAGGGGAGCAGCAGCAGCAGCAGCAGCAGCAGCAGCAGCAGCAGCAGCAGCAGCAGCAGCAGCAGCUCCACCAGCAGCAGCUCCACCAGCAGCAGCGCGGGAGCAGCAGCAGGGAGGGGUUGGAGGGAAAGGAAGGGGUGACGGACGUGUUCCUGGAGGUGCCGUCUCGCAGGGACAGAGCCGCCUCCCUCGACUUUGCCUUCGCCAGCUUCCCCGACCCGGAGGAACUGCUCAAGUCCGUCACAGCGGGCCUCACGCGCUCAGUCUCCCUCGAACCUCCCAAGUCCCUCCGCUCCAAGAGUAUCGACAUCGAAUUACCAACUGAGGAAGAUGGUGACUACAAGGUUGUGGUGACCUCCCCCAAGACGGCCAAGAAGGCCAUCAACUCUGAGGUGGAGAUCCAGUGUGAGAAUGGCGAGCGUCGGGUCCUGCGCUCCACCUGCGACUGGAAUGAAGGAGCCAUCAACGGGGACCAUCUGUGGUGCCCAACCUCAGCCUCCGGCGACUUUUGCUACGUCGGCGAGGACAACUGCUGCAAAUCGGGGGCGCGGAUGAAAUGCUCAGCGUGUAAGAUCAUCGCCCACACCGGAUGCAUCGCUGCCCUGGUGGAGCGGGUCAAGUUCCCGUGUAAGCCAACCUUCCGAGACGUGGGCCCGCGACAAUACCGCGAGCAGACCGCCACCCACCACCACUGGGUGCACAGGCGGAGUCAGAAGGGCAAAUGUAAACAAUGCGGCAAGGGGUUCCAGUCGAAGCUGUUGUUUGGGUCCAAGGAGAUCGUGGCCAUUAGUUGUUCGUGGUGUAAGGCGGCUUACCACAACAAAGAGAGCUGCUUCAAUAUCAGCAAGAUCGAGGAAACUUGUUCCCUUGGGAUCCACACGAGCAUCAUAGUGCCGCCCUCCUGGAUCGUGAAGCUGCCUCGACGUGGAUCCUUCAAGUCCUCCCUCAGGAAGAGUCCUAAGAAGCGAGCAUCAACCAAGAGGAAGAACAGAGACAAGGAGGGCGAGGAUGGCAAGCAGAACGAGAAGGACACGCGACCCUUCGCCAUCAAGCCUAUCCCCAACGCCAACAUCAAACCCCUGAUCGUGUUCAUCAAUCCAAAGAGUGGUGGCAACCAGGGCGCCAAGCUGAUGCAGAAGUUCCAGUGGCUCCUUAACCCUAGGCAGGUCUUUGAUCUGACCCAGGGAGGACCUAAAGCAGGGUUAGAGAUGUUCCGGAAAGUGUCCAACCUGAGAGUGCUGGCGUGUGGCGGGGACGGCACCGUGGGGUGGGUCCUGUCCGUCCUCGACCAGCUCAACUUCCAACCUCCCCCCGCCGUAGCCGUCCUGCCCCUCGGCACCGGGAAUGAUCUUGCCCGUGCCCUUGGCUGGGGAGGCGGGUACACAGACGAACCCAUCAGCAAGAUCCUGUGUAACAUCGCCGACGGGGAGGUAGUUCACUUGGACCGCUGGCGUGUGGACGUUGUUAAGAAUGAGGAGUAUGAGCCCACAGAGGAAGGCAGGGACACCCUACCCCUCAGUGUUGUCAAUAACUACUUCUCUUUCGGUGUCGACGCCCACAUUGCCCUCGAGUUCCAUGAGGCCAGAGAGGCCAACCCUCAGAAGUUCAACUCUCGGUUAAGGAACAAGAUGUUCUAUGGUCAGGCUGGAGGCAAGGAUCUUUUACAACGCAAGUGGAAAGAUCUUUCAGACAACUGCACGCUGGAGUGUGAUGGCAAGGACAUGACACCCAUCUUGAAGGAGAAUAAGGUCCAUGCUGUCGUCUUCCUCAACAUUCCUAGCUAUGGAUCAGGUACCCAUCCAUGGAACCGGAGCAGUGGAGUAGAGCAGCAUACAGAUGAUGGUAUCAUUGAAGUCAUUGGGCUCACCACGUACCAGAUGCCACUGUUACAGGCUGGUGGUCAUGGAACAACAAUCUGCCAGUGCAAGAGGGCGAGGAUCAUCACCAAGAAGACUAUUCCCAUGCAGGUAGAUGGAGAGGCAGCGAGGGUCAACCCAAGCAUCAUAGAGCUCACGCAUCUCAACAAGGCCUCAAUGGUGACCAAGAAGAAGGCUAAGUCUGUCCCGAUGCCACAUCUAGAACAGCUCCGCCUCCAGGUAUUGAGGAUCACCAUGUUUGACUAUGAGCAGCAUCAUUAUGACAAGGAGAAGCUGCGUAGUGCCUCCUCCCCGAUUGGCCUCAUCAUGAUAGAUCAAGAUGCAGAUCUCGAACAGGUCCGUAAACACGUCAACCGCAUGAUGGAAGAGACAGCACACAAGGGUCGCUCCACCAAGCCCCUGUCCGAGAGCUGGUGUUUCCUCGACUCAUGCACAGCAGAAAGAUUCUUCCGUAUAGAUCGAGCUCAGGAGCACCUCCACUAUGUGACGGACAUUUGCACUGAGGAUCUCUUCGUGCUGGACCCAGAGCUCAUUGAUCCCACCGCCAUCAGUGGCAUAAGAGGGGAUGUGAGCGUGGACAACGACAUUGACCAUAGCGAGAGGAUGGCCAUGGUAAGCGACAGUGACUCUGGAGUGGGCGGAACUGAUGCGGAGCAGCGAAACCCCACCCCCGCCCUCACCGCCAGCCAAGACUCCUCUGACACCGGGGAGGAGGAGGUGGAGGCGGCCCUGGAGGCCGGGGUACCCAGCUUGCAUGACCGUGUCUUUGGUCCAGAAUACUACCCUCCCAGCCACCUUCUUGAGAAGAACUCAGAUGGGAUCAUAAAGGCUGCCAAGCAAGGGGAUCUAAAGAUGCUAAAGGAUCUCCACUCACAAGGGUUUUCACUACUCUCAAUUGAUGCGCAUGGACAGACUGCCCUUCACUAUGGUGCACGCCAUGGGCACAAAGACAUUGUGCGUUAUCUAAUUGCAUCUGCCCCGCCUUCCAUCCUUGACAUGGUGGAUACAGAUAAGGGCCAGACAGCACUUCACCAGGCUGCGUACAACCGACGACGAACAGUUUGUUGUAUGCUGGUAGCAGCAGGUGCCUCCCUCACCAUCAGGGACCUACUGGGCAACACUCCCAGGGCUCUGGCCCAACGUGCAGAUGACCAGGAGUUGGCUGCCUAUCUGGAGAGUAAGUGCCAGCUUAUGGGUCUUGGUGCAUCCAUGCCAGAGGGAGAAGAUCAGUCAUCUCUUCCUUGCCACACAUCUUAUUCCCACUCGCUCAGGGGUGCACGUCACCACGCACUCGCUAAAAGGCUAAGAGUAGAAAGAUUAAUAUAGUACAGUACACAUAUUUUAUUUUAUUGCACUGUGUGAGGUAGUUCUUUUGUCCCUCACUAAAUUUUCAGAUUUUUACCAAGGCUAUAAGGCCUUUACAAGGCAAUAUAAGGCUCAUGUUGCACAUGAAUGGUAUUCAGGAAGCUGACUAAACUCACAUCAUACCAUACUACCUUUCCCUUAACUUGAAAGCCUAUGCUAUAAUGUACAGUAGUUGUUGCUCUAGAAAGCAUUUUUGCUAUGCUGUACAAAGGGGCAGAAAACACAAAUUUUGGUAGGAAGUGUGUUGUAAGUUGACUUGAGUUUCUCCUGACUUCUGGCCACAGCCUCAGUCACGUGCACCGUCCUCGUGGAGGGAGUCCUUUGAACCACACGAGCUUGGACCAUUUUUGUUAAGGACAAGAGGCCUUUCUUAGUUUAUAAAUACUGCUUUUAGGCAAACUGUUGAGUGUUGUCUUCCAUAAGUGCCCCCAAAUCUUAUGUUACUUGAUGGAGAUCAUUUAUCAGAGUAGAAAAAUUGGUGUGAAUGGAGCGUUUAAGUUAUUGGUAAUUUGGGUAACCCUUUACCAAAGGUUAAUUUGAUAUCCCGUGAAAACAGAUGUGCAUGCUUGUUUUAUAACCCUGCCUGAGUACUAUUGGAAUGCCAACUUAGCCUUCUGAUAAAUGCAACUAACAUAAGAAUAUGAAUUAAAUAAUAUUCUUAAAAGUAACAGGGUGAUAGCCUUUAUGAGACGGGGCUCUCAGAAUUUCUUGAAUUUUACCCAUUUUGUUAGAUGUGUAAUUAUAACAUUAGAUUUUUGGUGUUAUAUAAUAGGAAGUGAUGACAGAAGGGAAGAAUACUUCUCACUUUGACUUGUGAUUAAGAUUUUGAUUUUAUUAUGAACACAAAAGUUUAACCCAUACUUCUUUUCAUAUGUUGAUUUGACAGGAAAGUGGACUUCCAUGUUGUCUUCUUAGUCUUCAGUAUACAGUAUUUGAAUAAUUUUUUUUUUUUACAUUUUUUUGUGGUUUCCAUUCUUUAUUGCUUUUUCAGGCCAAGAGAAAUUCUCUCAACCCAACAAUAGUAAUCUCAAUUACGUUGACUAAACUGCGAACAAAAAAAUAUACUUCCUUAGGUAACGGUGGGUGGCUCCUGUUAUGGCAGGUCCCAGGUUCUUGUUUAUGUAAGAAUGUAGCGAUGCAGUUUAGAUAUAUUGUCAAUGAAUCACAUUUUGCACCACUGCUUUGCCAAUUUAGUUACACAUAAAGUAAUUAAUUAUGUAGAGGUAAAUCUUGUAGCCAUAAAAAAGUGAACUCAUGCACACCCACCCAGUGAUUAAAAGUUGUUUGUAUAAAAAGUAUAUAUUAAUCUUUUUGUAAUUAAUAGUUUUGGUGGCAUUAGAAAGAAGGUUCUUGUAUUUGCCAUUGAUGAAUAUUUAAUUUCUAUCAAAGUAGCCUACCAAGGGUGAAAGGCUACAUACUGAUGGAAAAUGUGCCGUGACAGGUGAUGAGGGCCUUUAGGUGAGAAUUAUAUUGGGCUGAGCUGAUUGUUGCUUUACCUCAAUACUCUUUAUUAUUCUCAGUGAAGGUGUAUUGAAGGUCAACUGAUAUCUGAUCACGGUACAGGAAUUUUUUAUGCAAGAUAAUGUUUUGGAUGGCAAUCACUUAUUUCCAGCAGUAUUUUUGCAGUCAUGAUAUUUAUAAAUUUAAAUCAACUUCCCCUUGAAUGAAAUACCUAUCCAAAACAUAUGACAGUAUUGUGUAGAUAGUGUGCCAACAGAGUGGAUUACACAUCACCUCGCUGUUUCUUGCACGCUCUAUGCCAAGGAUUCUGCUCUGGCUCUGUUCUGCCAGGAGCAGUUUCAGACCAUGGUUCAUGAGGACUUGGAGACAACCGUAUGAUUGAGGCUGUACCUCGGCCAAGGAUCAUGGAAACCCAUCCUCUGGCUGAGCUUGGCAACCUUCAGAGUGGAUGAUCUCUUCUUACAUAAACUUAUCAUCUCUUGACACAUUAUUGAAUUUUUUCUUGUGUUUUAUAUGAAUCAACAUAGAGGGAUGAGAGGAUGAUUUUCAUCUCUAGUCAGUUUUAGUAAUUCCAUCUCAAGUUUGUCAAGCCUCCAUACAAAACAAGAAACAGCUGCGGAAUCUGACUGAUACAUGUGAGUUGUCAGAAUGCUGUAUUAAAACAUACAGUAAAGUUUUAUGGUCUGAAAGAUGAAGAAAACCAAGACUGCUCUGCUGCUGGUCUUCCACUGUGAACAACUUUUGGACAGUGAACAGAUGUAGACAUGGUUGCCAACCUAAGUCAUUCCAGUCAAAUAUAAGAUAUUUAAUGUGUCUGUGUAAUUCAUGUGUAGGUUUUUUGAAACCCCUUUAAUCUUUAGUAUUUAAAUACCCAUAACCUGCAUACAGUAAAGUCCCCUGAUAAGCUUAGUGUCCCACUGUGCUUCAAUCAUAUGCUAUAUAAAUAUAUAUAUAUAAAAAUAAUUUUUUUUAAGGAUAAUAUAUCUAUUUAAAUUUCAAUCAAUUAAGUGUACUUUAAUAUUGUUGUUUUCCCACAGUUACUUUUCUUGUAUGGCAUCCGUAGAUAGGUAUGUGCAGUUUGGACAUAUCAGUAUUGUAGUCAUUGUAGCUUCUUGUUUCAUCAACACUAUUGGUUUCCUAAGAUCUGCUCAUGUGAGGCAGUUAAAAGUAUUGACUUGUAUGUUGAAGGUAACACAGAGUGAGCUGUGAGAGACUGAUGGAAAGCUAGGAAUUUUUUUCUGGAUGAUAGGCUAUAUUAAUAAGGUAUACUUGCUCUGUUAUGGAAUAUACCUAUGAACUUUAAAUAGGUCAAAGUUUAGUACUAAAAGAUGAAGUUAUUUAGGAAUAUAUAGUGUUAUUUGAUACCAGCACGAUAUGCUAGCCUGAACUGCUUGGUGGCGUUGUACGAUGUCUCCCCCCUAUGUGCCAGGCAUGAGACUAGCAUCCGAGUAGUCAUGUCAUGAAGGAGAGUCAUUAAUGUAUUGCUCGUCCUGGUGCAGUUUCAGGGUUUGACUCUGGGCCGCCCAAAUACCGUACUACAUGUUAUUUUUACAAUUGGUUUGAAUUCCAAUGGUUUAAAGGAUAUCAGGCAAAGUAUCAAAAUGUUUAACGUAUUUCUUCAUUCUGAGUUUGAGUGUGUUUAAAAAAAUGACAAGUAUUGAGAAGUGUUCUGUGUGAAAAUAUCUUUCAUGCACAGUGUCUGGGCUUCCCAUAGUCACAUCCAUGUUGGGUAUGCACAUGAAAUUGCACAAGAAGCUUGAGCAAGUAGAUAUCUCUAUCUUAUGAUAAAUAUGCUGGUAAAGAUAGGUAAUAUUUAGUUAAUUUGAUUUGAUUACCUUUAUGCACUAGUGUUAAAGUAUAAUCAAGAGCCAUUGUUUACAGAUGCCAAUUAGAACUAUGAGUAGACCAUAGCGUGUAGAAUAUAUGUGCAAUCUGUCAACAGUCGCUCCUAUUGAAAAUGCGGGGAAUAGUGCAUAGGGGUCAAAUCACGUAUUCUUGCUUGUACAACAUUUCAUUUAUGUGGUAGUCGCAUAACCUAGUUAGAAAGUUAAACAGUAAAUUGUACUCAGAAUAUGUUUUCAUGGAAGAAGGUACAUGCAAGAUGUCAUAAAAUAACUUCAUCUUUUCACUUCAAACUCAAAUUGAUAAUUGAAAAUAUACCUGGAAAGUGGUUUUAGAAAGCCAAGGUUAGACUCAACAAAGUGAAAGAUCAAGAGGACUGAAUGAUUUGUAAGUGGAUGUGUCCACUUACAAACAGGUAGUUGAUGAAUAGGUCUUAAAAUUACUUAACUUCUUUAUUUUCUUCUUUAAAGUCUGCCUAUUACAUUCCGGAAUCAAAUUGUUUCUCAAGAUGAUGUGUUACCUUAUUUCCUUGUUCUCUAAAUUUGUUCCUUACUAAAUCUGUGAUCUACCAAGUGCUGAGAAGUUCUCUUCCACAUGUCAUUACUGAAUAAACUUUUAGUCUUA
RNA transcript from Homarus americanus (American lobster), 8096 nucleotides. It is a transcript of the gene named eye-specific diacylglycerol kinase-like, with no coding region annotated. The transcript has 21 exons. The record is from RefSeq and is a predicted model, not a curated record. NCBI's taxonomy places the organism in Eukaryota, Metazoa, Arthropoda, Malacostraca, Decapoda, Nephropidae.